This is a long non-coding RNA of Micropterus dolomieu (smallmouth bass), 472 nucleotides long. RefSeq lists it as uncharacterized. The transcript has 2 exons. Lineage: Eukaryota; Metazoa; Chordata; Actinopteri; Centrarchiformes; Centrarchidae. The record is from RefSeq and is a predicted model, not a curated record.
CCACCAUUAGUUUCGCAUGGUAGGUCAUAGCAGAUUGUCUGUCAUACAAUCUAAUAACAACAAUGUAUUGAGACUUCCUGGUGUUGCUUUUGAAAUAUUGUUUCUGUCACAGUCUAUCCAUGACCAGUCUUGUGAGUGUGUUGUGGUUUGGCCAGUCUCUCUGUGUGUGGUGUGGGUGUGGUCUUCCCAGGUUCCUGGCUCUCAGCACAGCUGCUGACUAUCUGCCAAUCAAGCCCUGGCUUAAAGACUCCGUACACCUGACUGUCAGCGCCAGAUUGUUGUUCUCACUUCAGUGCGCCUGGGAUCUCCGCUUGCUACACCAUUUGCCACUCCGCCCGCCACGCCAAGGCCACUACUACUGGACCUCUAGUCAACCACGCUAUCUUCGCUCCCGCAGACCAGCUCCGGAUCAUUCGCCGACACUGUUCCACUCAUUGUCUAUAUUAUCAUUAAAACCCUCUUCCGAACCUCA